Acomys russatus (golden spiny mouse) is the source of this 143-nucleotide small nucleolar RNA. RefSeq annotates it as small nucleolar RNA SNORA48. The transcript has a single exon. NCBI's taxonomy places the organism in Eukaryota, Metazoa, Chordata, Mammalia, Rodentia, Muridae. The record is from RefSeq and is a predicted model, not a curated record.
GACCCCUGGCAAUGGACCAAGAGACACCUUGGUGGUGGUGGUGUUCUUAUAUCAAACAGGGGCGGAGCAGAUGGCAAUCCCUUUUCCUACUAGCUUGAUGCCUGGCUUGGUGGCCAAACCUGUCUUGUGCCUAGGACUCAUAA